AUUGAACGCUGGCGGCAUGCCUUACACAUGCAAGUCGAACGGCAGCGGACCUUCGGGUGCCGGCGAGUGGCGAACGGGUGAGUAAUAUAUCGGAACGUACCUUUCAGUGGGGGAUAACGUAGCGAAAGUUACGCUAAUACCGCAUAUUCUGUGAGCAGGAAAGCAGGGGAUCGCAAGACCUUGCGCUGAUUGAGCGGCCGAUAUCAGAUUAGCUAGUUGGUGAGGUAAAGGCUCACCAAGGCGACGAUCUGUAGCGGGUCUGAGAGGAUGAUCCGCCACACUGGAACUGAGACACGGUCCAGACUCCUACGGGAGGCAGCAGUGGGGAAUUUUGGACAAUGGGCGCAAGCCUGAUCCAGCUACGCCGCGUGGGUGAUGAAGGCC
RNAcentral lists this ribosomal RNA (384 nucleotides) under uncultured bacterium. RNAcentral describes it as "bacterial SSU rRNA". It matches the Rfam family "Bacterial small subunit ribosomal RNA", at positions 30 to 416 of the family's 1533-position model. The record is from RNAcentral.